Molecule: ribosomal RNA, 399 nt
Filed under: uncultured bacterium
Lineage: Bacteria
Description: bacterial SSU rRNA
Rfam family: Bacterial small subunit ribosomal RNA
Source: RNAcentral
AAUUUUGCGCAAUGGGCGAAAGCCUGACGCAGCAACGCCGCGUGAAUGUUAAGCCCCUCGGGGUGUAAAGUUCUGUCAGUGGGGACGAAACUUGACGGUACCCACAGAGGAAGCACCGGCUAACUCCGUGCCAGCAGCCGCGGUAAUACGGAGGGUGCAAGCGUUGUCCGGAAUCAUUGGGCGUAAAGAGUUCGUAGGCGGUAUGUUAAGUCUGGUGUUAAAUCCCGAAGCUCAACUUCGGUUCGGCAUCGGAUACUGGCAAACUUGAAUGCGGUAGAGGUAAGGGGAAUUCCUGGUGUAGCGGUGAAAUGCGUAGAUAUCAGGAGGAACAUCAGUGGCGAAAGCGCCUUACCGGACCGUUAUUGACGCUGAGGAACGAAAGCCGGGGUAGCAAAUGGG